GAUGAAGAACGUGGUGAAAUGCGAUAAGUAAUGUGAAUUGCAGAAUUCAGUGAAUCAUCGAAUCUUUGAACGCACAUUGCGCCCGCCAGUAUUCUGGCGGGCAUGCCUGUCUGAGCGUCAUUUCAACCCUCAAGCAACUUCUGCUUGGUGUUGGGGAUCGGCCGUCAAACGCCGCCCCCGAAAUCUAUUGGCGAUCUCGCUGUAGCUUCCUAUGCGUAGUAGUAACAUCUCGCAUCUGGAGAGCGGCGCGGUCAUGCCGUAAAACACCCAACUUCUCAGGUUGACCUCAGAUCAGGUAGGAAUACCCGCUGAACUUAAGCAUAUCAAUAAGCGGAGGA
Molecule: unclassified non-coding RNA, 338 nt
Filed under: soil metagenome
Description: partial contains 5.8S ribosomal RNA, internal transcribed spacer 2, and large subunit ribosomal RNA
Rfam family: 5.8S ribosomal RNA (bases 1-120)
Source: RNAcentral